RNAcentral lists this ribosomal RNA (515 nucleotides) under uncultured bacterium. RNAcentral's name for it is "partial 16S ribosomal RNA". It matches the Rfam family "Bacterial small subunit ribosomal RNA", at positions 28 to 523 of the family's 1533-position model. The record is from RNAcentral.
GAUGAACGCUGGCGGCGUGCCUAAUACAUGCAAGUCGAGCGAAUGGAUUAAGAGCUUGCUCUUAUGAAGUUAGCGGCGGACGGGUGAGUAACACGUGGGUAACCUGCCCAUAAGACUGGGAUAACUCCGGGAAACCGGGGCUAAUACCGGAUAACAUUUUGAACCGCAUGGUUCGAAAUUGAAAGGCGGCUUCGGCUGUCACUUAUGGAUGGACCCGCGUCGCAUUAGCUAGGUGGUGGGGUAACGGCUCACCAAGGCAACGAUGCAUAGCCGACCUGGGAGGGUGAUCGGCCACACUGGGACUGAGACACGGCCCAGACUCCUACGGGAGGCAGCAGUAGGGAAUCUUCCGCAAUGGACGAAAGUCUGACGGAGCAACGCCGCGUGAGUGAUGAAGGCUUUCGGGUCGUAAAACUCUGUUGUUAGGGAAGAACAAGUGCUAGUUGAAUAAGCUGGCACCUUGACGGUACCUAACCAGAAAGCCACGGCUAACUACGUGCCAGCCGCCGCCGUAA